AAUUUUGGACAAUGGGGGAAACCCUGAUCCAGCCAUGCCGCGUGUAUGAUGAAGGCCUUCGGGUUGUAAACUGCUUUUGUACGGAACGAAAAGUCUUGGACUAAUACCCUGGGUUCAUGACGGUACCGUAAGAAUAAGCACCGGCUAACUAUGUGCCAGCAGCCGCGGUAAUACGUAGGGUGCAAGCGUUAAUAGGAAUUACUGGGCGUAAAGAGUGCGCAGGCGGUUUUGUAAGACAGUGGUGAAAUACCCGGGCUCAACCUGGGAACUGCCAUUGUGACUGCAAGGAUGGAGAGCAGCAGAGAGGGAUGGAAUUCCGCGUGUAGCAGUGAAAUGCGUAGAUAUGCGGAGGAACACCGAUGGCGAAGGCAAUCCCCUGGGCAUGCACUGACGCUCAUGCACGAAAGCGUGGGGAGAAAACAGG
This 424-nucleotide ribosomal RNA is filed under the name uncultured bacterium. RNAcentral describes it as "partial 16S ribosomal RNA". It matches the Rfam family "Bacterial small subunit ribosomal RNA", at positions 360 to 776 of the family's 1533-position model. The record is from RNAcentral.